This 446-nucleotide ribosomal RNA is filed under the name uncultured bacterium. RNAcentral's name for it is "bacterial SSU rRNA". It matches the Rfam family "Archaeal small subunit ribosomal RNA", at positions 725 to 1165 of the family's 1478-position model. The record is from RNAcentral.
AGCGAAUAGAUACCCUGGUAGUCCCAGCUGUAAACGAUGCAGACUCGGUGAUGAGUUGGCUUAUUGCUAAACUCAGUGCCGCAGGGAAGCCGUUAAGUUUGCCGCCUGGGGAGUACGGUCGCAAGACUGAAACUUAAAGGAAUUGGCGGGGAGCACCACAAGGGUGAAAGCCUGCGGUUCAAUUGGAGUCAACGCCGGAAAUCUUACCGGGGGUCGGACAGCAGAGUGAAGGUCAAGCUGAAGACUUUACCAGACAAGCUGAGAGGAGGUGCAUGGCCGUCGCCAGCUCGUGCCGUGAGGUGUCCUGUUAAGUCAGGUAACGAGCGAGAUCCCUGCCUCUAGUUGCUACCAUUAUUCUCAGGAGUAGUGGAGCUAAUUAGAGGGACCGCCGUCGCUGAGACGGAGGAAGGUGGGGGCUACGGCAGGUCAGUAUGCCCCGGAAACCC